RNAcentral lists this ribosomal RNA (431 nucleotides) under uncultured bacterium. RNAcentral describes it as "bacterial SSU rRNA". It matches the Rfam family "Bacterial small subunit ribosomal RNA", at positions 343 to 791 of the family's 1533-position model. The record is from RNAcentral.
GGGAGGCAGCAGUGGGGAAUCUUGGACAAUGGGGGAAACCCUGAUCCAGCCAUGCCGCGUGAGUGAUGAAGGCCCUAGGGUUGUAAAACUCUUUCGGCGGGGACGAUAAUGACGGUACCCGCAGAAGAAGCUCCGGCUAACUUCGUGCCAGCAGCCGCGGUAAUACGAAGGGGGCUAGCGUUGUUCGGAAUUACUGGGCGUAAAGCGCGCGCAGGCGGUCCUUCAAGUCAGAGGUGAAAGCCCAGAGCUCAACUCUGGAAUGGCCUUUGAGACUAGAGGACUUGGGUACGGGAGAGGUGAGUGGAAUUCCGAGUGUAGAGGUGAAAUUCGUAGAUAUUCGGAAGAACACCAGUGGCGAAGGCGGCUCACUGGCCCGUUACCGACGCUCAGGCGCGACAGCGUGGGGAGCAAACAGGAUUAGAUACCCGCGU